GAUAAGGGAACCUCGAGUGCCAGGNUUACAAAUCUGGCUGUCGAGAUGCCUAAAAAGCAUUUCAUAGCAAGGGCCGGGCAAGACCGGUGCCAGCCGCCGCGGUAACACCGGCGGCUCGAGUGGUAACCGUUAUUAUUGGGUCUAAAGGGUCUGUAGCCGGCCGGAUAAGUCUCUUGAGAAAUCUGGCAGCUUAACUGUCAGGCUUUCAGGAGAUACUGUCUGGCUCGAGGCCGGGAGAGGUGAGAGGUACUUCAGGGGUAGGGGUGAAAUCUUGUAAUCCUUGAAGGACCACCAGUGGCGAAGGCGUCUCACCAGAACGGACCUGACGGCAAGGGACGAAAGCUAGGGGCACGAACCGGAUUAGAUACCCGGGUAGUCCUAGCCGUAAACGAUACUCGCUAGGUGUCGGCCACGGUGCGACCGUUGUCGGUGCCGUAGGGAAGCCGUGAAGCGAGCCACCUGGGAAGUACGGCC
RNAcentral lists this ribosomal RNA (474 nucleotides) under uncultured archaeon. RNAcentral describes it as "bacterial SSU rRNA". It matches the Rfam family "Archaeal small subunit ribosomal RNA", at positions 369 to 842 of the family's 1478-position model. The record is from RNAcentral.